UACGUAGGUGGCAAGCGUUGUCCGGAUUUACUGGGCGUAAAGCGCACGUAGGCGGUUCGUUAUGUCGGAUGUGAAAGCCCUUGGCUUAACCGAGGAAGUGCAUCCGAAACUGGCGAGCUAGAGUACGAAAGAGGAUCGCGGAAUUCCCGGUGUAGAGGUGAAAUUCGUAGAUAUCGGGAGGAACACCGGUGGCGAAGGCGGCGAUCUGGGUCGAUACUGACGCUGAGGUGCGAAAGCGUGGGGAGCAAACAGG
This 253-nucleotide ribosomal RNA is filed under the name uncultured bacterium. RNAcentral describes it as "partial 16S ribosomal RNA". It matches the Rfam family "Bacterial small subunit ribosomal RNA", at positions 524 to 776 of the family's 1533-position model. The record is from RNAcentral.